This 315-nucleotide ribosomal RNA is filed under the name Triticum aestivum (bread wheat). RNAcentral's name for it is "partial small subunit ribosomal RNA". The record is from RNAcentral. Lineage: Eukaryota; Viridiplantae; Streptophyta; Magnoliopsida; Poales; Poaceae.
AUGGCCGACCAGCUCUGGCGCAUGUCGCUGCCGGUGGGGGCGAGCAUGGACCACCCGCUGGCCAACCCGUUCGGCCCGGAGAGCCCGAGCCUCGCGCCGGUGGAGCUCCCGCCGGCGCUCGUCGUGGCGCCCUUGAGCGACGUGCUCCGCGACCGCGUGCUGGGGUACGGGGCGAGGCUGAAGGACAUGGGGAAGGCCGUCGAGGUUGUCCAGUUCGAGGGGGAGCAGCAUGGCUUCUCCGUCCGCCAGCCGCUCGGCGAGGCGGCCAGCGAGUUGCUGCGGGUGAUCAAGCGGUUCGUCUACAGCGGCAACUGA